GAUAAACGCUGGCGGCGUGCAUAACACAUGCAAGUCGAACGAAGUGGCGAACGGGUGAGUAACACGUGAGAAACCUGCCUUACACAAGGGGAUAGCCUUUGGCAACGAAGAAUAAUACCCUAUAGUGUAAGAUGGACUUGCGUCCGAUUAGCUAGUUGGGGAGAUAAAGGCCCACCAAGGCAACGAUCAGUACCCGGCUUGCAGGAGCGGCCGGCCACCUUGGGACUGAGACACGGCCCCAACUCUCCGGGAGGCCGCAAUGGGGAAUUUUGCACACUGUGCGAAACACUGAUGCCGCGUCGCCGUGUGAUUUGGAAAGCCUUCGGGUGGUGAAAAUCUUUUAUAAGGGAUGCCUUACCAUAAGAAUAAGGUCCGGCUAAAUACGUGCCAGCAGCCGCGGUAAUAC
Molecule: ribosomal RNA, 406 nt
Filed under: uncultured bacterium
Lineage: Bacteria
Description: partial 16S ribosomal RNA
Rfam family: Bacterial small subunit ribosomal RNA
Source: RNAcentral